UACGGAGGGGGCUAGCGUUGUUCGGAAUUACUGGGCGUAAAGCGCGCGUAGGCGGACCUGCAAGUCGGGGGUGAAAGCCCGAGGCUCAACCUCGGAACUGCCUUCGAUACUGCGGGUCUCGAGUCCGGGAGAGGUGAGUGGAAUUCCUAGUGUAGAGGUGAAAUUCGUAGAUAUUAGGAAGAACACCCGUGGCGAAAGCGGCUCUCUGGAACGGUACUGACGCUGAGACGCGAAAGCGUGGGGAGCGAACAGG
Molecule: ribosomal RNA, 253 nt
Filed under: uncultured bacterium
Lineage: Bacteria
Description: partial 16S ribosomal RNA
Rfam family: Bacterial small subunit ribosomal RNA
Source: RNAcentral